GACGAACGCUGGCGGCGUGCCUAAUACAUGCAAGUCGAACGCACUUUCGUUAGAUUGAAGAAGCUUGCUUCUGAUUGAUAACAUUUGAGUGAGUGGCGGACGGGUGAGUAACACGUGGGUAACCUGCCCUAAAGUGGGGAUAACAUUUGGAAACAGAUGCUAAUACCGCAUAAAACCUAGCAACCGCAUGGUGCAAGGUUGAAAGAUGGUUUCGGCUAUCACUUUAGGAUGGACCCGCGGUGCAUUAGUUAGUUGGUGAGGUAAAGGCUCACCAAGACCGUGAAUGCAUAGCCGACCUGAGAGGGUAAUCGGCCACACUGGGACUGAGACACGGCCCAGACUCCUACGGGAGGCAGCAGUAGGGAAUCUUCCACAAUGGACGAAAGUCUGAUGGAGCAACGCCGCGUGAGUGAAGAAGGUUUCGGAUCGUAAAACUCUGUUGUUGGAGAAGAACGUAUUUGAUAGUAACUGAUCAGGUAGUGACGGUAUCCAACCAGAAAGCC
This 503-nucleotide ribosomal RNA is filed under the name uncultured bacterium. RNAcentral describes it as "bacterial SSU rRNA". It matches the Rfam family "Bacterial small subunit ribosomal RNA", at positions 28 to 492 of the family's 1533-position model. The record is from RNAcentral.